GAUGAACGCUGGCGGCGUGCCUAAUACAUGCAAGUCGAGCGAACGGACGAUAAGCUUGCUUCUCUGAUGUUAGCGGCGGACGGGUGAGUAACACGUGUAUAACCUACCUAUAAUACGGGUAUAACUUCGGGAAACCGGCGCUAAUACCGUAUAAUAUUUUGAACCGCAUGGGUCAAAAGUGAAAUACGGUCUUUCGGGCACUUAUAGAUGGAUCCGCGCUGCAUUAGAUAGUUGGUAAGGUAACGGCUUACCAAGGCAACGAGGCAUAGCCGACCUGAGAGGCUGAUCGGCCACACGAGAACUGAGACAGGGACCAGACUCCUAAGGGACGGCGCAGAAGGGAAUCUUACGCAAUGGGCGAGAGCAUGACGGAGCAACGCCGCGUGAGUGAUGACGGUCUUCGGAGCGUAAAACUCUGUUACUAGUGAAGAACAGAUGUGUAAGUAACUGUGCACAUCGUGACGGUACUUAAUAAGAAAGCCCCGGCUAACUACGUG
RNAcentral lists this ribosomal RNA (497 nucleotides) under uncultured bacterium. Its description in RNAcentral is "partial 16S ribosomal RNA". It matches the Rfam family "Bacterial small subunit ribosomal RNA", at positions 28 to 507 of the family's 1533-position model. The record is from RNAcentral.